GGUCACGUUACGAAAGUAACUCUUUAAUAAUUAUUAUUAUUAUUUUCCCUCGGUCUCUCAUUUAAAUUCUCGUAUAGGACCACUGAGGUGACGUCAUACCUCGGUGAUGGAACGUACUCCACCUAUCGAGCAUUAUUCGGGUUCUGAGAGAAUUUGACGUUUACCUUGGCGGAGAAACGCCUCUCGUUCUUUACUUGACUGUGAGCUGUGGUGUCGAAUAGAUAUACCAUAUAGAAUGGCGGAUGAUUUCCUCCAACUUAUUUUAUCACAUAAGAAAUUUAACGUAAAGUAAAAAGUUACCAGCAAGGGUUGUCGAGUUAGGGAGACAUGUGUGUGACAACUCCUGUUGGAGCCAACUAGGAAUCAUUCGCCAUUUGGGAGAAACCCUACCAUGAAGUCAUAGACCUUAUUUGACCACCUAGAGAAACCACUACAGCCACAGUCAAGUCAUCAUGGGAGUAUGUCUAAUUGGGAACAAGCUAUGGGAGCGUUCCAGCUCAAUUUUCGUCUUGGCACCUGGGCCUACAGGAGUCAUGGGGUCGCACCAUCCUGGUGCAUCAUUUUCUAGGAUGCAACCGCAACCUCGUUUGGGAACAUUUAGUGAGGUGUUGUAGUAACUAUUGGUUUUUUUUAUAUUUCAGACUAUCUGUUAAAUACACUGUUUUUUUUUUCCAGAUUUAGGUUACCUCUGGUUUUUUUUUGACAUAUUUGUAUAUUAGAUUAUUUGGUUCCCAAACUUUGUAUCUACGGUAACUUCUUGUGCACAGGAAUAAGCCUAGAGAAAAUUAGGUUUUUAAUACUUUAUUAUUGCUUUGAUAUUGGUUUAUGUAAUUCGGGUAAAUUUAUUUUUUUAAUAUUACUAGCUUGUUUCCCAAAUAUUUUACUAUUAUUCGCUUUAUUCCAUUUGUUCGGUUAAUUUAGGUCAUCGUCGGUAUUCAUCUCAACUUCAUUUCUACUUUAGUCAAUUGUAUAUUUAACUUUAUUUAUUCAUUAUUGUAUUUUCCCUUAGUGAGGCUUGGGCCUAUUUAUUUGUAGUAUUUUCAUCUUUGUCAGUUUCCUUUAGUUGUACGUAGCAGGCGUACUAUAACCAUUUGGUAGAAGACUUAUGUAAUUUUGUACCCUAUAUGUUAGUGAAAGGUAUUUAUACCUGUAAUUUUGUAACAGGUAACAUUGUUGUUAUCUUAGGUUGAACAUAACUUUUGCAAACUUUUGUCAUGUUAGAGUCACAUAAUAUGAACUUGUUUAACUCAGAGAUUGUUAAAAAUCUGGUAGUUUACCUUGGCAGAGAAACAUGAUUAGUUAGUUUUAUUUAUUUUGUUCGUUUUUAGUCAUUAUUCAUCUCCAUUCAUUUUCAGUACAUUAUUCUUAUUUUAUUAUUUCAUCUUUUAGUCAUCAUUACUAUCUAUAUAGAGCUACUGUUCUUCGACAGGCAUGCAAACGAGCCGUAUCCAUCCUUGAGUGUCAAGUUGCUCUCUUGCAUCUAUAGCUAGCCAACUCUAUUCAGUUUGCCUCUGUCUCUUCCCACUUCUACUUCUAUCCCUUCUAAUUCCCCUUUCUUCAGUACUACUGCAAAGUAGUAUUUUUUCCUAUUGCGGCUUCUCAACGUAGAAGUCACUUCAUCCUUUCGUUACACUCACCCACUACAUCUUCUUUUCAUUUUUUUUUCAUUACUUCUGUUGGAGUAUAUCACUCCAACAGAAGUUCAUUUUGUUACACUGGCUGCCCAAUGCGUGGUGCCAACCGUUUAUGGUUUUAAGACAGUAGUUCUUUUAGUUCAUUUUUAUUUUAUUGGAAUUUUUGUAUUAUUAACUUUUUGAUAUCUUUGUAUACAUGUUACUUCUGAUUUAUUUUUGGUCUUUAAAAUUUUAUUAAUACUAAACAGGUAGACUUAUACUGCUUUUGGUUUUGAUUAGUUUAUUUCGAUACCUCAUUUUUAGUUUUAGUGGUACAGCUCAUAUUUUAGUUUGAAUUUUGUAUUUUUAUUGGAAACUUAUUUGUGUAUUUAGAAUGAGUAUACAUGACUGACAUUAUGUUCUAUUAUUAUGGAUUUUUAGUCCUUCUACCAAUGGUAGUAUGUUUGCACGUACAAUUAAUUAUUGACUAUAUGCAUAUAUUUUUUUUUCUAGUGUGGAUAUAUUUUACACCUAACUAGAAAUUAUUUUCAGUAUUUAGGUAUUUUAUUUAAUUUAUUGAUUUGAUUAUUUAUAUAUUUUGCUGGCAUUUUGAUUUGUUGGUGUGUCGCUAAUAUUUUCUCCAUAUGUAUAUUUGUCUUACAAACUUUAGAUUAUAUUUUAUAUUUGUUAUUUUUGAUAUUUGAGUUGUUUGGUAAGACAGGCACACACCACAAAGCAAUAUCGGUCCACAACAUUAGCUUCUAUACAUGAUACGUUGAAUUCGCAUGGUUCGAAUGGUUACAGAUGGUCAUCCAAACUAUUUUUCUUUAAUUGGUAGUGUUAAACAUAACAAUUAUAAUUAUUGUAUAGUAAAGUAGUUCCAUUAUCCAUCUCAGUUUCUAGUUUUAUUAUUGUUGAUAAUAAUAUUAUAUCAAUGUGGGUACCAUAAUAUAAUGCUCAUAGAAAUCAGAUACUUUAGGUUGAGAUUUAAACAUAAAUCUUUUAUUAGUUAGAAACAUUGGUACUUUUUCUAUUAAGUUUAGAACAAUCCUCAGAAGAAGAUUAACUUAACGGUGUCGUUCAAGCUAAUCUCUUCUUCUGUUUGUCUUUAGCUUAGCUCAAUCGUUAGUAUGGUUAGAAAUUUUAGUCUGAUUUUUUUUUACCAUCUGAUAAUGCAGGUACCUACAUACAUUGCUUGAUUUCAUCUUUGGCUUAGUUUUGAUGACUUUUAUUUAUUACUUAUUAAUUUAAUUAUUAUGUAGUACUUUAUGUAUGAGUUUAUUUUUUUGGUAUUAGGUAUGGUGCAUUUUAAUUAUUAUUAUGAGUCAAUAUUAUUAAUUGCUAAUCCUGUCAGUAGGAUUAUCCAAUUAAUAAAAACUUCCCUUGUAUUUUUGUUUAGUUUUUGCACACCUAACCCCUUAAGUUAGAAGGGUUGUUGAAUUAUUAUAUAUUUAUAUACUUAUUUGGACAGGUAAGCUCAUACAAGUACUCUUGUUUAAUAUGGAUAUUAUUAUGGAACUGUAUGUUAUGCACUACUUAUCUCAGGUUAUGUGUUAUAUUAUUUGGAAUAUUUGAUUACUUACUAAUUUUUUUUGAUCAUAUUUAUAUCUAGUUAUGAAUUUGCCAUAUUGGAAAGAUGUGGUUUUUAAUUUGUUAUUGGGUUACUCUAUUAACAUUUGUCUCAAAUAUCUUAAACACUUUAUAAUAAUUUAUAUCCUUCUAUCCUACACACUAUGAUUCUGGAAUUAGAUUGGAAUGUUGAUGUGAGUAUGUAUGGUUUCUUAAGUCUUUUAUUGAUUUCUUCUUGUGGACUAGCCUGUCCUUACUCUGUUAAUGCUAGUGAGUGAGUACGUGGGUUCGAAAUUCAGCAAUUGGCCAUUGCUAUCCGGUUUCGUAAUCUAUGUCCUCAUGGCAGAGUAUGCAGAUGUCUAUUCAUCAUCAUGUCCUAACUAUUCUUGUCUAAUUAGUCCAAUUAUUCCAGUUACAUAUUUACAAUUUGAUAGGGAAGUAUUUAGUUUAUAUUUUAUCUCGUACUUCAUAGUAUGUUUGUUGUUGACUAUCCCUAUACGCAGUAGGUUUGUUAAGUCAGUAUUUGGAGUGUUUAGACAAAUGAGUUGUUCAUCAGAGUAUAUUCCCACUUCUUUCCUUAGGCAUUAGUUGCUAUUCAGAUUCUGGAAUAUUUCCUGAAUAAUUCCACGUAUGUGAGAACGCAUGAAUUUGCAGUUUUAUUUAAAAUUGUGCUCGUUCUCGUCAAUUUUUUUUCCCUAUCACUUAUCAUAUUUUUUUUCUUCCUAUUAUUUAUCAUAGUGCCAUAGACCUUGUAAGUUCACCAUUCAUUCUGUUUUUCUUUCUUACUUAUUCUUACGUUAUAAGUACUUUAUCUGAGUCUGGUUAUUCUCAUACAUCUGUUGUAGCAACAUGCUAUAAUUCGCGAAUACCAGCACGAAUUAAGUUUAUGUAGUUUCUAUAAUAUUUUAGUCAGUACACUGUAGGUAUACCUACAGUGAUAUACCUUUGAUUUAGUCAGUAUACAGUAUACAGUCAGUAUACCUUUGAUUUAGUUUGGUUACAUCUCUGUUACUUAGUCUGUUAGUAAUUUUUUUAUUGUGACUUAUUUUGAUUACUUAGUUUGGAUAGGUUCAUAUUACCGGAUGAGGGUGUAUGUAGACCUAAUUUAUUUAUUUUGUUCAGUAUUAGUUACCAUUGGAUCCAAUAAUUUAGUUUAUUUAGUAUUAGUAAGAAUUGGUCCAUAAAUUUGCCUGAUCGUUCUUCUUUGGAUAUACUCCUAUAUAAAUCUGGUGUCCAUUGAUAGUCCGAUUCUGGAUAAGUGUCCGAUUCUUCAUUUAUUUUGUGUAUUUGGGUGGAUAGGUUCGUAUUACCGGAUGUGGGUGUACGUAGACCUGAUCUGUUUAUGUGGUUUAGUAUUGGUGUGAAUUGGUCCAUAAAUUUGCCUGGUCGUUCUUCUUUGGAUAUGCCUUUUAUGAAUCUGGUGUCCACUGAUGGUUCGACUUUGGAUUACGUGUCCGAUUCCACAUUUAUUUUGGUUAUUGAGUUUUGGAUUCCUUUGGUAUGUUUAUUAUUGCUAUUAUUUGGCAUUAGUGAGAGUUGUUCCAUAAAUCUUCCUGAUUGUUCUUCUCUGGAUAUACUAUUAUGAAUCUGGUGUCCAUUGUUAGUUCAAUUUUGGAUUAAGUGUUCAAUUCUUUACUUAUUUUAGUUACUUUUUUUUUAUUCACUUUGGUACAUUUACUUUUGAUAUGGUUCGAAUUGGCUCACACCUUUCCUGGUUGUUCCGUCCUUGGAUAUAUCCGUUAUAAAUCUGAUGUCCAUGGAUAGCUCAAUUUUGGUUUUAGUGCCCAAUUCGACACUUAGUUAUUAUUAUGAACUUUAGUACAAUAUUUAGUUUGUUUGGUUUUUGAAGCAAUAUUAAUAUUGGUAACAGAGAGUAACAUAGUAACAUUUUAGCAUGAGUUUGAGUCAUAUAUGUAUUUAUUUUUCCUGAUCAUUAGUUUAUUCUUAUUGGUAAUCUUGCGAAUCAACGUGGAUUGUUAGACUAUUGUACAUUUAGUUGUUAAUAUUUUGAAGUUUAGAAAAAAAUUUUAUGGAUAAAAUUUUUUUUUCCCAAGUAGAAGGGGAUUGUAACGGUCACGUUACGAAAGUAGCUCUUUAAUAAUUAUUAUUAUUAUUUUCCCUCGGUCUCUCAUUUAAAUUCUCGUAUAGGACCACUGAGGUGACGUCAUACCUCGGUGAUGGAACGUACUCCACCUAUCGAGCAUUAUUCGGGUUCUGAGAGAAUUUGACGUUUACCUUGGCGGAGAAACGCCUCUCGUUCUUUACUUGACUGUGAGCUGUGGUGUCGAAUAGAUAUACCAUAUAGAAUGGCGGAUGAUUUCCUCCAACUUAUUUUAUCACAUAAGAAAUUUAACGUAAAGUAAAAAGUUACCAGCAAGGGUUGUCGAGUUAGGGAGACAUGUGUGUGACAACUCCUGUUGGAGCCAACUAGGAAUCAUUCGCCAUUUGGGAGAAACCCUACCAUGAAGUCAUAGACCUUAUUUGACCACCUAGAGAAACCACUACAGCCACAGUCAAGUCAUCAUGGGAGUAUGUCUAAUUGGGAACAAGCUAUGGGAGCGUUCCAGCUCAAUUUUCGUCUUGGCACCUGGGCCUACAGGAGUCAUGGGGUCGCACCAUCCUGGUGCAUCAUUUUCUAGGAUGCAACCGCAACCUCGUUUGGGAACAUUUAGUGAGGUGUUGUAGUAACUAUUGGUUUUUUUUAUAUUUCAGACUAUCUGUUAAAUACACUGUUUUUUUUCCAGAUUUAGGUUACCUCUGGUUUUUUUUUGACAUAUUUGUAUAUUAGAUUAUUUGGUUCCCAAACUUUGUAUCUACGGUAACUUCUUGUGCACAGGAAUAAGCCUAGAGAAAAUUAGGUUUUUAAUACUUUAUUAUUGCUUUGAUAUUGGUUUAUGUAAUUCGGGUAAAUUUAUUUUUUUAAUAUUACUAGCUUGUUUCCCAAAUAUUUUACUGUUAUUCGCUUUAUUCCAUUUGUUCGGUUAAUUUAGGUCAUCGUCGGUAUUCAUCUCAACUUCAUUUCUACUUUAGUCAAUUGUAUAUUUAACUUUAUUUAUUCAUUAUUGUAUUUUCCCUUAGUGAGGCUUGGGCCUAUUUAUUUGUAGUAUUUUCAUCUUUGUCAGUUUCCUUUAGUUGUACGUAGCAGGCGUACUAUAACCAUUUGGUAGAAGACUUAUGUAAUUUUGUACCCUAUAUGUUAGUGAAAGGUAUUUAUACCUGUAAUUUUGUAACAGGUAACAUUGUUGUUAUCUUAGGUUGAACAUAACUUUUGCAAACUUUUGUCAUGUUAGAGUCACAUAAUAUGAACUUGUUUAACUCAGAGAUUAUUAAAAAUCUGGUAGUUCAUUUUAAUAAAUGUUUAUUUAUUUUGUAUAUCAUUUAUUUUUAUUACUCCUUUAUGUUCAUUAUUACAGGUUUAAUAUAUUUAAUAUUUGACAGCAGUGUAAGAUACCUGGGAGAAUGAUCGAAGAUCAUUUUCAUGGCGCCCAUGAUUAGUUAGUUUUAUUUAUUUUGUUCGUUUUUAGUCAUUAUUCAUCUCCAUUCAUUUUCAGUACAUUAUUCUUAUUUUAUUAUUUCAUCUUUUAGUCAUCAUUACUAUCUAUAUAGAGCUACUGUUCUUCGACAGGCAUGCAAACGAGCCGUAUCCAUCCUUGAGUGUCAAGUUGCUCUCUUGCAUCUAUAGCUAGCCAACUCUAUUCAGUUUGCCUCUGUCUCUUCCCACUUCUACUUCUAUCCCUUCUAAUUCCCCUUUCUUCAGUACUACUGCAAAGUAGUAUUUUUUCCUAUUGCGGCUUCUCAACGUAGAAGUCACUUCAUCCUUUCGUUACACUCACCCACUACAUCUUCUUUUCAGCCUCAACUAUUUAGUUACCUAGUCUUUUUUUUUCUUACUUCUGUU
Molecule: long non-coding RNA, 7080 nt
Filed under: Diabrotica virgifera virgifera (western corn rootworm)
Lineage: Eukaryota; Metazoa; Arthropoda; Insecta; Coleoptera; Chrysomelidae
Description: uncharacterized LOC126891800
Source: RNAcentral